AACAAUUAAUUUAAUUUUUUUUUAAUUUUUUUAUAAAUUGUAAAAUUAAUUUGUGUUUAAUUGUUAUGAUUUUUUAAGUGUUAUAAAACUAAGGAUGAGUUAUAUUAAAGAUAAUUUAUCAAAAAUAAGGAUUCUUGUUUGCAAGUGCAGAGGAUUCUUAGAUGUUAGUCAAGCUAUUUAAGAGAAGGUACAUUGGAUUAAAUUGAUUUUUUUUUUCAAAGAUAGAUGUCAUUAUAAUGGGGGAAUACAUGGGCAGAUCCUAAUAUUACAAGAUUCCUGUCCAAACUGCAAACCACCUCCAGAACAAAGAAAUCAGCCAAAUAGAACUGGAUCCUUAAAACUCAUAUUACCCGAUUGAAGGACCCGACCAAAAACAAAGAAACACUUCAAGAAUGUCAUUGGACUAGGAACCCCCGUGGCUUGGGGAAGAAAUCAUUCCUUGAAGCUUUGGAAAUCCUCCUUGCAAAUAUACCUAUUGACUAAACCCAACAGAACUUCUAAAAGGGGUAAACAAAUCCAACACAAUCGAAAAAGAAACACAAGCAAAGUUGAAAGAGAGCUCAACCAUGGAGGUCGGAGAAGCAGCAACCACAAGCUUCAAAUCAACCAGAAGAGCAUAAUAGCCAGAGAUCUAUGGCGACCAAAAGCCUUAAGGGUUACCAUUUGCAGCAUGCAAGCAUGAUGCUUGAUCCCAAGAGUUAAACUAUCAAUAAAAUAUAACUCUUUCAUAAUUUACCCAUAUAGAAAAUAGGAUUCCCGAUCUCCCACACAACGAAACUCAGCCUGCAAAAAACAAUAAAAAUAAUAUAAAAGCAUAUAUACAAUCUCAAUGUAAGGAGUCAUUCCUGUCUAGAAAAAGCUCUUACAGCUGCAAAAUUCGGCAGGAAAGGAGGACUGGCCGGCCUUAGAAAAGAAGAAAACUUAGAAAGGUUUCUCUCUUUAUAAUUUGAGAGGUCAAAUUGUAUUUGGAUGUGGCAAUUCGGGGAACAUGAACAACUUUGCUUCUUGUGGUGGCUUAAUUAUAGACAAUAACAACUGGGUGUUGUAAUUUUGUGAAGCGAUUAAGG
Molecule: long non-coding RNA, 1067 nt
Filed under: Manihot esculenta (cassava)
Lineage: Eukaryota; Viridiplantae; Streptophyta; Magnoliopsida; Malpighiales; Euphorbiaceae
Description: long non-coding RNA (MESC_LNC004220)
Source: RNAcentral